RNAcentral lists this ribosomal RNA (253 nucleotides) under uncultured bacterium. Its description in RNAcentral is "partial 16S ribosomal RNA". It matches the Rfam family "Bacterial small subunit ribosomal RNA", at positions 524 to 776 of the family's 1533-position model. The record is from RNAcentral.
UACAGAGGUCUCAAGCGUUGUUCGGAUUCAUUGGGCGCAAAGGGUGCGUAGGUGGCGCCGUAAGUCAGGUGUGAAAUUUCGGAGCUCAACUCCGAAACUGCAUUUGAUACUGCGGUGCUUGAGGACUGGAGAGGAGACUGGAAUUCACGGUGUAGCAGUGAAAUGCGUAGAUAUCGUGAGGAAGACCAGUGGCGAAGGCGGGUCUCUGGGCCGAUACUGACGCUGAGGAGCGAAAGCGUGGGGAACGAACAGG